AGCUGCGCGGUGGGCACAGAGCGAACUGUUUUUUCGCCUUUUACUAAAGAAUACCGUGCGUGCGCCGCAAAUAGCAGCAUACCCCUAUUUUUGGAGGGUGCUUUUCCUUUCUGGGAGGGC
This is a small nuclear RNA of Dichanthelium oligosanthes, 120 nucleotides long. It matches the Rfam family "U5 spliceosomal RNA". Rfam says of the family: U5 RNA is a component of both types of known spliceosome. The precise function of this molecule is unknown, though it is known that the 5' loop is required for splice site selection and p220 binding, and that both the 3' stem-loop and the Sm site are important for Sm protein binding and cap methylation. NCBI's taxonomy places the organism in Eukaryota, Viridiplantae, Streptophyta, Magnoliopsida, Poales, Poaceae. The record is from Rfam.